UUCGAGUAGCAUUUGAGUGGC
RNAcentral lists this non-coding RNA (21 nucleotides) under Caenorhabditis elegans. Lineage: Eukaryota; Metazoa; Nematoda; Chromadorea; Rhabditida; Rhabditidae. The record is from RNAcentral.